GUGGGGAAUAUUGGACAAUGGGCGAAAGCCUGAUCCAGCCAUGCCGCGUGUGUGAAGAAGGUCUUCGGAUUGUAAAGCACUUUAAGUUGGGAGGAAGGGCAGUAAGUUAAUACCUUGCUGUUUUGACGUUACCGACAGAAUAAGCACCGGCUAACUUCGUGCCAGCAGCCGCGGUAAUACGAAGGGUGCAAGCGUUAAUCGGAAUUACUGGGCGUAAAGCGCGCGUAGGUGGUUUUGUAAUUUGGAGGUGAAAUCCCCGGGCUCAACCUGGGAACUGCCUCGAAAACUGCAUGACUAGAGUACGGGAGAGGGUAGUGGAAUUUCCUGUGUAGCGGUGAAAUGCGUAGAUAUAGGAAGGAACACCAGUGGCGAAGGCGACUACCUGGACUGAUACUGACACUGAGGUGCGAAAGCGUGGGGAGCAAACAGGAUUAGAUACCCCUGUAGUCC
Molecule: ribosomal RNA, 450 nt
Filed under: uncultured bacterium
Lineage: Bacteria
Description: partial 16S ribosomal RNA
Rfam family: Bacterial small subunit ribosomal RNA
Source: RNAcentral